GACGAACGCUGGCGGCGUGCUUAACACAUGCAAGUCGAGCGGUAAGGCCCUUUCGGGGGUACACGAGCGGCGAACGGGUGAGUAACACGUGGGUGACCUGCCCUCAGCUCUGGGAUAAGCCUGGGAAACCGGGUCUAAUACUGGAUAUGACUCCAUGACGCAUGUUGUGGGGUGGAAAGCCUUGUGCGGCUGAGGAUGGGCCCGCGGCCUAUCAGCUUGUUGGUGGGGUGAUGGCCUACCAGGGCGACGACGGGUAGCCGGCCUGAGAGGGCGACCGGCCACACUGGGACUGAGACACGGCCCAGACUCCUACGGGAGGCAGCCAGUGGGGAAUCUUGCGCGAAUGGGCGAAAGCCUGACGCAGCGACGCCGCGUGAGGGAUGACGGCC
This 389-nucleotide ribosomal RNA is filed under the name uncultured bacterium. RNAcentral's name for it is "bacterial SSU rRNA". It matches the Rfam family "Bacterial small subunit ribosomal RNA", at positions 28 to 416 of the family's 1533-position model. The record is from RNAcentral.